UGUUGGUGGGGUAAAUGCUUACCAAGACUAUGAUCAGUAGUUGGUCUGAGAGGACGAUCAGCCACACUGGGACUGAGACACGGCCCAGACUCCUACGGGAGGCAGCAGUGAGGAAUUUUCCGCAAUGGGCGAAAGCCUGACGGAGCAAUGUCGCGUGGAGGAAGAAGGCCCGUGGGUCGUAAACUCCUUUUGUCAAAGAAGAAAAUAUGACGGUAUUUGACGAAUAAGCAUCGGCUAACUCCGUGCCAGCAGCCGCGGUAAUACGGGGGAUGCAAGCGUUAUCCGGAAUUAUUGGGCGUAAAGGGUCCUGAGGUGGCUAGCCAAGUCUAUUGUGAAAUAUCAGGGCUUAACCCUGAACAUGCGGUGGAAACUAGAAAGCUUGAGUACAGUAGGGGCGGAGGGAAUUUCCGGUGGAGCGGUGAAAUGCAUAGAUAUCGGGAAGAACACCAAA
RNAcentral lists this ribosomal RNA (451 nucleotides) under Chloroidium saccharophilum. RNAcentral's name for it is "bacterial SSU rRNA". It matches the Rfam family "Bacterial small subunit ribosomal RNA", at positions 247 to 713 of the family's 1533-position model. The record is from RNAcentral. Lineage: Eukaryota; Viridiplantae; Chlorophyta; Trebouxiophyceae; Watanabeales; Watanabeaceae.